AGGGGCGUAGCUCAGCCCGGCCAGAGCAGCGGACUCCAAACCCGCGCGCCGCAGGUUCGAAUCCUGCCGCCCCUGCCG
This 78-nucleotide transfer RNA is filed under the name Streptomyces sp. PRh5. RNAcentral's name for it is "tRNA-Trp". It matches the Rfam family "tRNA". From Rfam's summary of the family: Transfer RNA (tRNA) molecules are approximately 80 nucleotides in length. Their secondary structure includes four short double-helical elements and three loops (D, anti-codon, and T loops). Lineage: Bacteria; Bacillati; Actinomycetota; Actinomycetes; Kitasatosporales; Streptomycetaceae. The record is from RNAcentral. RNAcentral also lists the same sequence under 1 other name.